RNAcentral lists this ribosomal RNA (462 nucleotides) under uncultured bacterium. RNAcentral describes it as "partial 16S ribosomal RNA". It matches the Rfam family "Bacterial small subunit ribosomal RNA", at positions 28 to 507 of the family's 1533-position model. The record is from RNAcentral.
GACGAACGCUGGCGGCGUGCUUAACACAUGCAAGUCGAGCGGAAAGGCCCUUCGGGGUACUCGAGCGGCGAACGGGUGAGUAACACGUGAGUAACCUGCCCCAGACUUUGGGAUAACCCUCGGAAACGGGGGCUAAUACCGGAUACGACACAGCUUCGCAUGGGGUCUGUGUGGAAAGUUUUUCGGUUUGGGAUGGGCUCGCGGCCUAUCAGCUUGUUGGUGGGGUGAUGGCCUACCAAGGCGACGACGGGUAGCCGGCCUGAGAGGGCGACCGGCCACACUGGGACUGAGACACGGCCCAGACUCCUACGGGAGGCAGCAGUGGGGAAUAUUGCACAAUGGGCGGAAGCCUGAUGCAGCGACGCCGCGUGAGGGAUGACGGCCUUCGGGUUGUAAACCUCUUUCAGCAGGGACGAAGCGUAAGUGACGGUACCUGCAGAAGAAGCGCCGGCAAACUACGUG